CGAGGACACGUGAUCCAAAUUUUGGCGGUUGAGGAGCAACCACCACUUUUUCUCUAAAAUUUCGUAGGGUGCUCAAAAUACACAAACAAAUCCGAAAAUGAGAAUAGCAGGUGGAGCCACGGUGUGCUCCGGGCACCGUUCCCUCUCACUUCCGUACUCAACUCGGUCACGACCCACUUCGACUCAAUCGCAACUCAUAUGGCGUAGGAGAAGUAGUAGUCGCACCAAUGGAAGUGCUAAGGUUUUCUUGCAAGCCAAUAAGAGAAAGUUAGUGUUGCUCAGUCCUCUCAGAGCCGCUGAAUCUGAUUCGUCGUCCACACAAACCGCUUUGUCGGUUGAAAUUCCCAAUAACAAUUACAAUAAAACCCUCAUUUCCGAUGAUGGCUUCUCUCUUUCUAAGGUUUCAUUUGGAGUGGUUGGUCUAGGUGUUGGACUUUCACUCUUGUCCUAUGGUUUUGGGGCAUAUUUUAAUGUUCUACCUGGAUCUGAAUGGUCUGCUAUAAUGUUAACGUAUGGCUUCCCGCUUGCAAUUAUUGGCAUGGCACUUAAGUAUGCAGAACUCAAGCCAGUUCCAUGCCUCACAUAUUCUGAUGCUCAAAGCUUGAGUGAAAAAUGUGCAACUCCAAUUCUUAAACAGGUAAAGAGCGAUGUCACUAGAUUUCGUUAUGGGGAUGAACAACAUUUGGACGAGGCAUUGAAACGGAUAUUCCAAUAUGGUCAAGGAGGCGGAAUACCAAGAAGGAGCGCACCCGUUCUACACAUGAUCCGUGAAGAAGCUCUUUGCAAUUCAUUUCUGAGUUAACUCAAAGUGUAUUAAGAUUGGCCUAUAGAAAAGUCUAUUUCACUCCAUAUCUACAUGAGUUGAUUGUCACUGAUGAUGGUAAAUACAGUUUGGUGUUGGUUUUUGAGGCCAAGGCUCUACAGUUGUCAGAUUUUGAACAGAGACAGGCUAAAUUUGCAUCAUUUUUCGGGCCAGGAAUUACAGCUGAAGUUGGUAAGGGUGAAAAAGAUUUAUACGAGGUUCGUCUUAUCUCCAAUACAGACCCCAAAUCAUCUUCUUCAUGAAGUUCUUGAUCGUUUUAUUCUACUCUUCUAUCUUAUUUGCUUUAGAUAAAUCACAAGACUUGGGUCCUUUGAAUGAUGUAAAAGUAUUAGAUUUAAAUGUAUUCAAUCAUUGUAAAUUA
Non-coding RNA from Arachis ipaensis, 1184 nucleotides. The record is from RefSeq and is a predicted model, not a curated record. Lineage: Eukaryota; Viridiplantae; Streptophyta; Magnoliopsida; Fabales; Fabaceae.